RNAcentral lists this long non-coding RNA (202 nucleotides) under Mytilus galloprovincialis (Mediterranean mussel). Lineage: Eukaryota; Metazoa; Mollusca; Bivalvia; Mytilida; Mytilidae. The record is from RNAcentral.
UGCUUAUUCUUAAGUGAGAUAGGAAAAAAAGCUUAUUCUUUAGUUUUCUAUGUUGUGUCAUGUGUACUUUUGUUGAAUUGAAUUGUGGCAAGUUUGUUGACGCAUUCUACCUUCUGUUGAAGAUUGUAAUGCUUCAUGCAUACACAUACUCUUCUCCAUGUGAAAUCGUUUAUAAUUUGGGGAUAUCAUCCCUAAGAAGGUC